GCUGAAAGUAUCAAAUGUUACAUCAUUUAGGUCUCAUAUUUCAACUUUAUUCUAAGGUUUUAUUUUCCCUCAGCUAGUAGAAAUGUGAUUUUGUCACACUGUAGCUGUUGACUGUUUCCCUCUCCUCUCAGGAAAGGUUUGACCAUUAGUUUCACAUCAAUUGCAGCAAAGAGUCUAGCUAUGUCUACCCCCGCUUCGGUUGUGGUUGGUGUUGGUGUUGGUAUUCUGGCAGCUGCAGUUAAUACAAAUAUAAAGUAGGUGAAGUUAAUUCUCUCUCUGUUUCCUUCCUGCCUUGUAUGUGAAAUGUACGCAAAUGUAAAACCUGAUUGACCCUACACUUUUUCAGAUAUCUUUUUAAUAUAUCAUGUCUUUGUUUUUUGUUUAUGAUUUUAGAAAAAAGAAGAUGCAACCAAGAUCAAGACAGAUCAACUCUCUAAGGAAAAAACUCCAAGACUGCAGAUGAACAAAAAUGUUGAUAAAGGAUGAUUUUAAAAAAAGUUCAAUAAAGAUGACAGACCACACAUGGUAUCAGUCUGACUUGUAGUUUGACAAUGGGCACAAAAUCACCCUCUUUUAAAACAAAAUAUAAGACCUUCCCAUGGUGCAUUGUGCAGAGCUCUCUGUGCCUCCUGAAAGGGUUUAGGUGUUUCAACAUGCUGCUAAUGAAGGUUUAUUCUGACUGAGAUAUUUG
Molecule: long non-coding RNA, 691 nt
Filed under: Xyrichtys novacula (pearly razorfish)
Lineage: Eukaryota; Metazoa; Chordata; Actinopteri; Labriformes; Labridae
Source: RNAcentral